Molecule: ribosomal RNA, 998 nt
Filed under: Chlorophyta sp. SP2-7
Lineage: Eukaryota; Viridiplantae; Chlorophyta
Description: eukaryotic LSU rRNA
Rfam family: 5.8S ribosomal RNA (bases 268-421)
Source: RNAcentral
AAUGUGAAGAUUCGAUCGUCCUGCCUCAGUCGAAUCCACACCGAGAACUCACGUCCCCCUGCGGCCUCCGGGCCGUGGCGUCGGUCCCCUGACCGUGGGAGCCUGCUCCCCUCUUAGGUCCGGCGGGCGCCCCCCAAGUCCAAUUCAUUUUGGGCCUGGGACCAGGCGCUGGUAAUUUCCUAUCCAACCCAACCCACCCCAAACCAAACCAAUUCAAACUGAAGCUCUGUGGCAGCCGGCUCGACCGCCUCCACUCAAACCAAUGACAACUCUCAACAACGGAUAUCUUGGCUCCCGUAUCGAUGAAGAACGCAGCGAAAUGCGAUACGUAGUGUGAAUUGCAGAAUUCCGUGAACCAUCGAAUCUUUGAACGCAAAUUGCGCCCGAGGCCUCGGCCGAGGGCAUGUCUGCCUCAGCGUCGGUUUACACCCUCAACCCCCCUUUCCGGGUGGGUUGGACCUGGCCCCCUCGGAUUUUUUAAUUAAAAUUCGGGCCGGCUGAAGUGGAGAGGCUUGAGCAUGGACCCCGUUUGCAGGGAAAUGGCUUGGUAGGUAGGCACCCCCUACAACCGCCUGCCGUUUCUCGAGGGGAUCGUGCUGGGAGCCCAGCAGGAAUUUUCGGCGGCCCCGGCCCCCGAAAAAACUCAUACCUUCGACCUGAGCUCAGGCAAGAACACCCGCUGAACUUAAGCAUAUCAAUAAGCGGAGGAAAAGAAUUAAACCCAGGGAAUAAUUUCAAGUCGUCAGGGAGCAAUCCUGAUCUGCUUACCCCGCUACUGCACUACAUUUACCACCUCAACACUUACUCGCACGAUUGAACUCUGUCGUACUGACAUCAGCCCUCAAUCCCUUGGAUCUUGGGUUUAGAUUCUAAGCAAAAACCAAAAUCUUAUGACUCUGGCAGCACAGGAUAUACGCUUGUAGACUAUUCCUUGUGUUAGGCAGACCCCUGAUCAGUCGUGUCAUGGCUACAUCAGCUAUGAUGGAGCAGUUCUGUGA